This 496-nucleotide ribosomal RNA is filed under the name uncultured bacterium. Its description in RNAcentral is "partial 16S ribosomal RNA". It matches the Rfam family "Bacterial small subunit ribosomal RNA", at positions 29 to 507 of the family's 1533-position model. The record is from RNAcentral.
AUGAACGCUGGCGGCGUGCCUAAUACAUGCAAGUCGAGCGAACAGACGAGGAGCUUGCUCCUCUGACGUUAGCGGCGGACGGGUGAGUAACACGUGGAUAACCUACCUAUAAGACUGGGAUAACUUCGGGAAACCGGAGCUAAUACCGGAUAAUAUAUUGAACCGCAUGGUUCAAUAGUGAAAGACGGUUUUGCUGUCACUUAUAGAUGGAUCCGCGCCGCAUUAGCUAGUUGGUAAGGUAACGGCUUACCAAGGCAACGAUGCGUAGCCGACCUGAGAGGGUGAUCGGCCACACUGGAACUGUGACACGGUCCAGACUCCUACGGGAGGCAGCAGUAGGGAAUCUUCCGCAAAGGGCGAAAGCCUGACGGAGCAACGCCGCGUGAGUGAUGAAGGUCUUCGGAUCGUAAAACUCUGUUAUUAGGGAAGAACAAAUGUGUAAGUAACUAUGCACGUCUUGACGGUACCUAAUCAGAAAGCCACGGCUAACUACGUG